Molecule: ribosomal RNA, 484 nt
Filed under: uncultured bacterium
Lineage: Bacteria
Description: partial 16S ribosomal RNA
Rfam family: Bacterial small subunit ribosomal RNA
Source: RNAcentral
AUUGAACGCUGGCGGCAGGCCUAACACAUGCAAGUCGAGCGGAUGAAGGGAGCUUGCUCCUGGAUUCAGCAGCGGACGGGUGAGUAAUGCCUAGGAAUCUGCCUGGUAGUGGGGGAUAACGUCCGGAAACGGGCGCUAAUACCGCAUCCGUCCUGAGGGAGAAAGUGGGGGAUCUUCGGACCUCACGCUAUCAGAUGAGCCUAGGUCGGAUUAGCUAGUUGGUGGGGUAAAGGCCUACCAAGGCGACGAUCCGUAACUGGUCUGAGAGGAUGAUCAGUCACACUGGAACUGAGACACGGUCCAGACUCCUACGGGAGGCAGCAGUGGGGAAUAUUGGACAUUGGGCGAAAGCCUGAUCCAGCCAUGCCGCGUGUGUGAAGAAGGUCUUCGGAUUGUAAAGCACUUUAAGUUGGGAGGAAGGGCAGUAAGUUAAUACCUUGCUGUUUUGACGUUACCAACAGAAUAAGCACCGGCUAACUUCGUG